Molecule: ribosomal RNA, 253 nt
Filed under: uncultured bacterium
Lineage: Bacteria
Description: partial 16S ribosomal RNA
Rfam family: Bacterial small subunit ribosomal RNA
Source: RNAcentral
UACGUAGGGUGCAAGCGUUGUCCGGAAUUAUUGGGCGUAAAGAGCUUGUAGGCGGUUUGUCGCGUCUGCUGUGAAAUUUCGGGGCUCAACCCCGAACUUGCAGUGGGUACGGGCAGACUAGAGUGUGGUAGGGGAGACUGGGAUUCCUGGUGUAGCGGUGAAAUGCGCAGAUAUCAGGAGGAACACCGAUGGCGAAGGCAGGUCUCUGGGCCACUACUGACGCUGAGAAGCGAAAGCAUGGGGAGCGAACAGG